Molecule: long non-coding RNA, 634 nt
Organism: Homo sapiens (human)
Lineage: Eukaryota; Metazoa; Chordata; Mammalia; Primates; Hominidae
Source: Ensembl
AAUGUGCCAGCUAUUGAGCUAAACUUGGGAUGCUAGAAAAGACAAUCCCUUUUCUGGAUUAGGAAGUUUACAUUUUAAAGAUGCAAGAAGGCACUAAACAAGGGCAGUGAGGUACAACAAGCUCUGUGGUUUUAUUUCUCCUAAAUGGGAGGAAACAUAGAGAGGAAGAAAAGUAUGCAAUCUCAGUUGCAAAUGGAGGCAGGGGCUCACCAUGUUCUCUGAUACGAUUGUACCGCCCAUUGGUAAGAAUCAGGCUGAAAAGAUUCUGUUACUGAAACUCAACACUUAGUUGAUACCUGCUACAACUUUAACUACUCGUUGACUGUUUACGGCUUUUGCUGUAAGUUGGAGUAUGGUGACAAACACACAAAAUUAUUUGAUCUUCCUGUUGAGCUCUAGCUAAGGGUUCUUCAUAUAUUCUGGAUAUUAGACCUUCAUCAGAUAUGUGAUUUACAAAUAUUUUUUCCCAUUUGUUUGUUACCUUUUCACUAUCUUGAUACUCUACUUUGAGGUGAAAAUGCUUUUAAAUUCGAUGAAGUCCAAUUUAUCUAUUUUUUCUUUGAUUUCUUGUGCUUUUGGUAUUAUGUUUAAAUAUUGCAUUUCUAGAAUAAAUGUCAUGAAUAAUUAUACUGAU